This 419-nucleotide ribosomal RNA is filed under the name uncultured Nocardioides sp. RNAcentral describes it as "bacterial SSU rRNA". It matches the Rfam family "Bacterial small subunit ribosomal RNA", at positions 355 to 774 of the family's 1533-position model. Lineage: Bacteria; Bacillati; Actinomycetota; Actinomycetes; Propionibacteriales; Nocardioidaceae. The record is from RNAcentral.
UGGGGAAUAUUGGACAAUGGGCGGAAGCCUGGUCCAGCAACGCCGCGUGAGGGAUGACGGCCUUCGGGUUGUAAACCUCUUUCACCAUUGACGAAGCUGCAUCUUUUGGUGUGGUGACGGUAGGUGGGAAGAAACACCGGCCAACUACGUGCCAGCAGCCGCGGUAAUACGUAGGGUGCGAGCGUUGUCCGGAAUUAUUGGGCGUAAAGGGCUCGUAGGCGGUUUGUCGCGUCGGGAGUGAAAACAUCCGGCUUAACUGGGUGCUUGCUUUCGAUACGGGCAGACUAGAGGUAUGCAGGGGAGAACGGAAUUCCUGGUGUAGCGGUGAAAUGCGCAGAUAUCAGGAGGAACACCGGUGGCGAAAGGCGGUUUCCUGGGGCAUGAUCUGACGCUGAGGAGCGAAAGUGUGGGAGCGAACA